ACGUACGCGGCGGAUAAACCGGAGGAAGGUGGGGAUGACGUCAAGUCAUCAUGCCCCUUAUGACCUGGGCUACACACGUGCUACAAUGGUUGGUACAACGAGUUGCGAGUCGGUGACGGCGAGCUAAUCUCUUAAAGCCAAUCUCAGUUCGGAUUGUAGGCUGCAACUCGCCUACAUGAAGUCGGAAUCGCUAGUAAUCGCGGAUCAGCACGCCGCGGUGAAUACGUUCCCGGGCCUU
Molecule: ribosomal RNA, 238 nt
Filed under: uncultured Streptococcus sp.
Lineage: Bacteria; Bacillati; Bacillota; Bacilli; Lactobacillales; Streptococcaceae
Description: partial 16S ribosomal RNA
Rfam family: Bacterial small subunit ribosomal RNA
Source: RNAcentral